Small nucleolar RNA from Anastrepha obliqua, 149 nucleotides. RefSeq annotates it as small nucleolar RNA psi28S-1192. Lineage: Eukaryota; Metazoa; Arthropoda; Insecta; Diptera; Tephritidae. The record is from RefSeq and is a predicted model, not a curated record. The transcript has a single exon.
AGUACGUCCUCUCUAAUGCAAAGUAAUGUUUUCAGCCAAAUUGCGUUGCCUCGCUUGUGGACAAGAUUAAAAAUCAAUGGUUUUAAUAUCCUAGCACUUUAAGUAGCCAAGAGUUUUUAAAUGUGCUUGAGAAACGUAAAACUACAUUU